CCCCGAAAGCUGAAAGCCGACGAGCAGGAACCCGCACGCCAUCACGAACGCAUUCGUGGCGAAGGCGUGAUCGAAGAACGCACGGUGCGAGCGCCACCAGGUCAACGCGAUCAAGAUGCCGGUCAGCGCGAGACCCUGCCCGAUCUCGACGCCGACAUUGAAGCUCACGAUAUUGGCGACGAGACCGUUUGGUGACAGCUCGAACUCCUGAAGCUUCGUGGCCAGACCGAAGCCAUGGAAGAGGCCGAAGAUGAGGACGGCGAUCCGUGUGUUCGGCUGAAAGCCAAGGAACCGCUUGAAGCCGUCCAUGUUCUCGAACGCCUUGUAGACGACCGAGAAGCCGAUGAUG
RNAcentral lists this unclassified non-coding RNA (349 nucleotides) under fungal sp. RNAcentral describes it as "partial internal transcribed spacer region". The record is from RNAcentral. Lineage: Eukaryota; Fungi.